This 386-nucleotide ribosomal RNA is filed under the name uncultured prokaryote. RNAcentral describes it as "bacterial SSU rRNA". It matches the Rfam family "Archaeal small subunit ribosomal RNA", at positions 339 to 725 of the family's 1478-position model. The record is from RNAcentral.
GCGCGAAAACUUUACAAUGCUGGCAACAGCGAUCAGGGAACCUCGAGUGCCAGGUUACAAAUCUGGCUGUCGAGAUGCCUAAAAAGCAUUUCAUAGCAAGGGCCGGGCAAGACCGGUGCCAGCCGCCGCGGUAACACCGGCGGCUCGAGUGGUAACCGUUAUUAUUGGGUCUAAAGGGUCUGUAGCCGGCCGGAUAAGUCUCUUGAGAAAUCUGGCAGCUUAACUGUCAGGCUUUCAGGAGAUACUGUCUGGCUAGAGGCCGGGAGAGGUGAGAGGUACUUCAGGGGUAGGGGUGAAAUCUGGUAAUCCUUGAAGGACCACCAGUGGCGAAGGCGUCUCACCAGAACGGACCUGACGGCAAGGGACGAAAGCUAGGGGCACGAACC